UGGGGAAUAUUGCACAAUGGGGAAAGACCCUGAUGCAGCAACGCCGCGUGAAGGAAGACGGUUUUCGGAUUGUAAACUUCUGUUCUUAGUGAAGAAUAAUGACGGUAGCUAAGGAGCAAGCCACGGCUAACUACGUGCCAGCAGCCGCGGUAAUACGUAGGUGGCAAGCGUUGUCCGGAAUUACUGGGUGUAAAGGGAGCGCAGGCGGGAGACCAAGUCAGCUGUGAAAAGCUACGGGCUUAACCUGUAGACUGCAGUUGAAACUGGUUUUCUUGAGUGAAGUAGAGGUUGGCGGAAUUCCGAGUGUAGCGGUGAAAUGCGUAGAUAUUCGGAGGAACACCGGUGGCGAAGGCGGCCAACUGGGCUUUAACUGACGCUGAGGCUCGAAAGUGUGGGGAGCAAACAGGAUUAGAUACCC
RNAcentral lists this ribosomal RNA (418 nucleotides) under uncultured bacterium. Its description in RNAcentral is "bacterial SSU rRNA". It matches the Rfam family "Bacterial small subunit ribosomal RNA", at positions 355 to 787 of the family's 1533-position model. The record is from RNAcentral.